GACGAACGCUGGCGGCGUGCCUAAUACAUGCAAGUAGAACGCACAGUUUAUACCGUAGCUUGCUACACCAUAGACUGUGAGUUGCGAACGGGUGAGUAACGCGUAGGUAACCUGCCUGGUAGCGGGGGAUAACUAUUGGAAACGAUAGCUAAUACCGCGUAAUAUUGAUUAUUGCAUGAUAAUUGAUUGAAAGAUGCUAUUGCAUCACUACCAGAUGGACCUGCGUUGUAUUAGCUAGUAGGUGAGGUAACGGCUCACCUAGGCGACGAUACAUAGCCGACCUGAGAGGGUGAUCGGCCACACUGGGACUGGGGCACGGCCCAGACUCCUGCGGGAGGCAGCAGUAGGGGAUCUUCGGCAAUGGACGAAAGUCUGACCGAGCAACGCCGCGUGAGUGAAGAAGGUUUUCGGAUCGUAAAGCUCUGUUGUAAGAGAAGAACGGGUGUGAGAGUGGAAAGUUCACACUGUGACGGUAUCUUACCAGAAAGGGACGGCUAACUACGUG
Molecule: ribosomal RNA, 505 nt
Filed under: uncultured bacterium
Lineage: Bacteria
Description: partial 16S ribosomal RNA
Rfam family: Bacterial small subunit ribosomal RNA
Source: RNAcentral